AGAGUUUGAUCCUGGCUCAGAACGAACGCUGGCGGCGUGGCUAAGGCAUGCAAGUCGAACGGACGUAUCUGGAAGGAAACGGAAGGGUACGUUAGUGGCGGACGGGUGAGGAAUACAUGGAUAACGUACCCCAGACUCGGGGAUAGCGGCGGGGCUUCGGUCCCUUUGCGAAAGCGCCGGUAAUACCCGAUGACCCCGUAGCACCGCAUGGUGCAGCGGGCAAAGCUCCGACGGUUUGGGAUCGGUCCAUGUCUUAUCAGCUUGUUGGUGAGGUAACGGCUCACCAAGGCAACGACGGGUAUCGGGCGUGAGAGCGUGGCCCGACACAUCGGAACUGAGACACGGUCCGGACACCUACGGGUGGCUGCAGCAACGAAUAUUCCGCAAUGGGCGAAAGCCUGACGGAGCGACGCCGCGUGCAGGAAGAAGUCCUUCGGGAUGUAAACUGCUGUCAGGGGUUAGGAAUAACGACCAGCCCCAGAGGAAGCACUGGCUAACUCCGUGCCAGCAGCCGCGGUAAUACGGAGAGUGCAAGCGUUGUUCGGAAUCACUGGGCUUAAAGCGCGUGUAGGCUGAAUGCCAGGUGUCGGGUGAAAGCCCUCGGCUCAACCGAGGAAUGGCCCGGCAAACCGGCAUUCUUGAGGCAGGUAGAGGUGGCUGGAACGACUGGUGGAGCGGUGAAAUGCGUAGAUAUCAGUUGGAACGCCAGAGGCGAAAGCGAGUCACUGGACCUGUCCUGACGCUGAGACGCGAAAGCGUGGGUAGCGAACAGGAUUAGAUACCCUGGUAGUCCACGCCGUAAACGAUGCGCACUAGGUAUGAGAGGAUCUGACGCCGAUCGUGCCGAAGCAAAAGUGGUAAGUGCGCCGCCUGGGGAGUACGGCCGCAAGGCUAAAACUCAAAGGAAUUGACGGGGGCUCACACAAGCGGUGGAGCAUGUGGAUUAAUUCGAAUCAACGCGAAGAACCCUACCUGGGUUUGACAUGCACGGAUGCCCUCUUGGAAACAGGAGUAAGCUGCCUUCGGGUGAAAUGUGCACAGGUGCUGCAUGGCUGUCGUCAGCUCGUGCUGUGAAGUGUCGGGUUAAGUCCCUUAACGAGCGAAACCCCUAUCGUUAGUUGCCAGCGGGUCAUGCCGGGGACUCUAGCGAGACUGCCGGUGUCAAACCGGAGGAAGGUGGGGAUGACGUCAAGUCAUCAUGGCCUUUAUGCCCAGGGUGUCC
This 1222-nucleotide ribosomal RNA is filed under the name metagenome. RNAcentral's name for it is "bacterial SSU rRNA". It matches the Rfam family "Bacterial small subunit ribosomal RNA", at positions 8 to 1218 of the family's 1533-position model. The record is from RNAcentral.